RNAcentral lists this transfer RNA (103 nucleotides) under Candidatus Bathyarchaeota archaeon. RNAcentral describes it as "tRNA-Leu". It matches the Rfam family "tRNA". From Rfam's summary of the family: Transfer RNA (tRNA) molecules are approximately 80 nucleotides in length. Their secondary structure includes four short double-helical elements and three loops (D, anti-codon, and T loops). Further hydrogen bonds mediate the characteristic L-shaped molecular structure. tRNAs have two regions of fundamental functional importance: the anti-codon, which is responsible for specific mRNA codon recognition, and the 3' end, to which the tRNAs corresponding amino acid is attached (by aminoacyl-tRNA synthetases). tRNAs cope with the degeneracy of the genetic code in two manners: having more than one tRNA (with a specific anti-codon) for a particular amino acid; and 'wobble' base-pairing, i.e. permitting non-standard base-pairing at the 3rd anti-codon position. Lineage: Archaea; Thermoproteati; Candidatus Bathyarchaeota. The record is from RNAcentral.
GCGGCGGUAGCCAAGCCCGGUCAAACUCCACAGGAUUACAGGCGAAGGACUCAAGAUCCUUUCCCGCAGGGGUUCGCCGGUUCAAAUCCGGCCCGCCGCACCA